Molecule: small nuclear RNA, 62 nt
Filed under: Capra hircus (goat)
Lineage: Eukaryota; Metazoa; Chordata; Mammalia; Artiodactyla; Bovidae
Source: RNAcentral
GUGCUCGCUUUGGCAGCACAUGUACUAAAAUUGGAACGAUACAGAGAAGAUUAGCAUGGCCC